Non-coding RNA from Cottoperca gobio, 470 nucleotides. Lineage: Eukaryota; Metazoa; Chordata; Actinopteri; Perciformes; Bovichtidae. The record is from the annotation of a RefSeq genome assembly.
UCUGUGUGUUUGCAUACGUGUCCUGCCUCUCUGCUCCCAGCCGUUAAGAGAUCAGAGUUGAUCGGUGGCUGUCCAGGCCUUUCAGAGACACUGACACGCCGGCAGCACAAUGAUGAUGUCACUGAUUCUACUGCUGGUCACCCUGGGGCUCCUUGUUCAGGAUUCAUCAGGAGAUAUCAUCCUGACUCAGUCUCCUGCAUCUCAGUCUGUUGUUCCAGGUCAGACUGUCUCUAUCAGAUGUAAAGCCAGUUACAACUGCCAGUACAUACCUUCACUGGUACCUCCAGAAACCUGAUGAACCUCCCAAACUCUUGAUUUAUCGUGCUACUAAUCGUCAGUCUGGAGUUUCAGGUCGUUUUAGUGGAAGUGGAUCUGGGACUGCCUUCACUCUGAGCAUCAGUGGAGUUCAGACUGAAGAUGCAGGAGAUUAUUACUGUCAGCAGGGUAAAAGCUUCCCGUUCACACAGUGA